This 406-nucleotide ribosomal RNA is filed under the name uncultured bacterium. Its description in RNAcentral is "partial 16S ribosomal RNA". It matches the Rfam family "Bacterial small subunit ribosomal RNA", at positions 30 to 526 of the family's 1533-position model. The record is from RNAcentral.
AUUGAACGCUGGCGGCAGGCCUAACACAUGCAAGUCGAACGAGUGGCGGACGGGUGAGUAAUGUCUGGGAACCUGCCUGAUGGAGGGGGCUAACUACUGGAAACGGUAGCUACUACCGCAUACCAUCAGAUGUGCCCAGAUGGGAUUAGCUAGUCGGUGGGGUAACGGCUCACCUAGGCGACGAUCCCUAGCUGGUCUGCGAGGAUGACCAGCCACACGGGAACUGAGACACGGUCCAGACUCCUACGGGAGGCAGCAGUGGGGAAUAUUCGACAAUGGGCGCAAGCCUGAUGCAGCCAUGCCGCGUGUAUGAAGAAGGCCUUCGGGUUGUAAAGUACUUUCAGCGGGGAGGCGUUACCCGCAGAAGAAGCACCGGCUAACUACGUGCCAGCAGCCGCGGUAAUAC